GCGUCGCCUGUUCGCCUGAACUCGUUAGCUCUGACGACUCGUCAGGAACCGGAUAUUUUGUAAACAACUGAGCGAAGGGUUAAUUAAUUUUGCCCACUUCUUCUACUUCCUGCGUUUCCCGACCAUUUGGCUUAUCGGGAACAAUCGUCCAAUUGUCACGAACCGCUUUGAGCAGUGGACCGAUCACGAACAAGAUUAGCCGAUAUCUCUCGGUUAGGAAUUAUAGAAAUAAUAGAGGCGGCAUCUGGAAGUGUCAGGGACAAAAUAAACUAUAAUUAAACUAUAAGUAAGUUGUCCUCUUUGUAAAUUAUUGUACACCUUUUAAAGCUCAAUGAAUAAAGAAAUAGUUCAAAUGCAA
Molecule: long non-coding RNA, 358 nt
Organism: Ceratina calcarata
Lineage: Eukaryota; Metazoa; Arthropoda; Insecta; Hymenoptera; Apidae
Exons: 2
Source: RefSeq, a predicted model, not a curated record